Long non-coding RNA from Dromaius novaehollandiae (emu), 2420 nucleotides. RefSeq lists it as uncharacterized. NCBI's taxonomy places the organism in Eukaryota, Metazoa, Chordata, Aves, Casuariiformes, Dromaiidae. The transcript has 3 exons. The record is from RefSeq and is a predicted model, not a curated record.
UACCUAGGGACCCAGUAAGGAGCAGGAGACCCCAGACCUAAAUAUUACUAUUGGUCCAAACUACUGCGUGAAGGGCGGAGAGCUUAGAUUGGAAAGUAUAAUUGCCCAGGGAUUUCUUUGUUCGGGGUCCCUCUUCGGAGGCACCCAACUCGAGCUGUAACCACUGCACACGUGUCAUUACAAUUUAUUUAUUUAAUUUGCCUUGAUUUGGCUCCGAACUUUUCAGCGGGAACCUAGGGUCAGACCCUGCUCGAGUUGUAAUUACUGCACGCGCAUCGCUAAAAUUUACACCCAGGGUGAAGAGGACCAACGGGACACCGCUGGAUCCAUGGGUGGUGAUAUCUCUUUCUCUCUCCCCCUUUCUCUCUCUCUCUCUCUCCCCCACUUUCUCUCUCACCUCCCCUUAGCCUUUCCCCACCUUUUCUCCACACUCCAUGGAAAACAAAGUUAAAAGGUGGUACGAUAUUUGAUCGGUUUUAACAUCUUAAUCUCGUCCUUGGGAUCGUAACGACCCCCCCACCCCGAUACCAGAUCGGAUCGGGACACAACUAAACAUAAGUUAUCAGAGGAGAAUCUCUCCAAUUUUAAACUGGGGGUGAAAAAUAACGCAGGUAUUUCAGAGAUAAAAAUCAAUGGUUUCAGUUGUUUUGGUUUUAUUGCUUUUUCUUUCUAAUUUUUCAGUUUUGGGUAUUUUAAAGAUAUUAAUUUCUGACUUUUUCUAAUAUUUGGUAACUGAAAAAUUUCCUAUGGAAAAGAUCUUAUUUUCUGGAUAGUUCUACCUGGAUAUGUUCUUCCUCCUCUUGCCUCCCCAGCUCCAGGAUUUUUAGACUUUGUUAAAGAAACACAAAUUUCUUCAAGAAUCACAAGCUGUAGCGUGAUGAGUCUGGUCAGCUGAAGAUGCUGUGAAUAUCCCACAGAUAUAGGAGCUUCCCAAUCCAUUUUUCCACAACAGCACUGUAAAUGCAAUCUGAAUGUUAAAACAAGUGUUAAAUUUGAUUACUCCUAUUAACAAUGGGAAAUCUUUUAAAAAAUGCAUUAAAUAUUCAUCUUGCAGGAGCCAGCAGUUGCUCUGAAUCUUUCACAAACUAAUCUGUACAAUCAACGUAUUUAAUACCUCUUUUAUAUUGCAAAAAGAGAGAAGCACAAGAGUGAGCAAGACAGUUGUUCUCAUCUCCAAUUCGUAGGGAAGAGGCUCUUUCCAUUUAGGAUAAUCAUUCUUCACCAGUGAAGGAGCUCUUUGUGCAGCUUUAACAGAGACACAAAAAUCGAGGUGAAUUACCAAGUAGAAACAAGAACUCAGAAAGAGGUGCAUCUGUAACAACAGAUCAAGUGGUAAGGGAAUAGGUUUCCUCCAUGACACAUGGAGCUGCUCCUACCAGCACUGAGUCCUGUGCAUUUGCCUUAGUAAGAGAUUCUGGGAAGCUUCAGACUUACUGUUUGGAAAAAACUUGGCAAAAGUCCACUUGGAUUUUCUUUCUAGCAACAUCUCAGGAGCAGCUUUCAUAUUGUCAAGCAGCAGAAACUUUCCACUACCUGGUGCCUCACGGCACCUGUGUUUGACUUGUCCACUGCAGUCCUGCCCUCCCCGGCUGCCCGCUGGGACACCAGCACUAUUUGUGCAGAGAAAAGGAUCAAGGUAGUGUGGCGCCUUCAGAAACGAAAAGACCAGUUUGUAAUCCCAGCGUAGACCCUGGUGCAAAAAACCUCCUGCAGAUCUGCACUCCACGCCACAGAGCUCAGUUUCCUAUUCACCUUGCCCCACAUCAGCCAGUCUCAAAUCAGCCUUCUUCCGCACAGCAAAACUGAUUGCUCGGCUGAUAGAAGUAGAAAUUCAUCGCUGAUUUCACUGGAAAAAGUGAACUAUCCUGCCCAAACAACUCCAAUACAAACUCAGUUUUCAGACAGUGAGAGGUAUUUGAAUGAAUAAGGAUGGCAGAACCAAGGAAAAGCAAACAAUAAGGCCUAUUUAGCAUGCCUUUUUUGGGGGGGGGGGGGAAUGAAAGAAAAAUUCUGUGUAUGAAGAUACAGUUAUUUCUAGUUCAAGAGACAAAUAGUUCUGAAUAGUUUUGACAUCAAAGUGCUAGAACUUGCUGUUUGUCCUGCAGAUCUUAAUUACACAGUCUAAACUGGUCAGAGAAGAGAAGAAUGCUUCUUUAAUUAACAGCCAACCUAAUGAAAAGGAAGAUAAAUACACAAGGUAUAUACACUUCCCAGAGCUUAUUCUGGUUCUCAUUGCAAUGUACUUUUGUAUGAGAUCACUUGUCUUGGAAAUUAUUCCAAACUUCAAUCUAGACAUGGCUGUUUAAGGGAUAUUGUUGAUUGUACCAGUUCCAAAGAAUAAAUUUAUUUCAGUCAAAAGAAACAUGUAUAUGUCAUGUAGGUUAUAUUGCAUAAGGAUUGUUUAUAUACUCUGUUUUACA